This 564-nucleotide long non-coding RNA is filed under the name Brassica rapa (field mustard). Its description in RNAcentral is "long non-coding RNA (BRAP_LNC001856)". Lineage: Eukaryota; Viridiplantae; Streptophyta; Magnoliopsida; Brassicales; Brassicaceae. The record is from RNAcentral.
GCGUGCUGCACGUGGCUCUCGUUCGCUUGGCGGAUUGCUUAGUUCUUGCCAUCUACAAGGCAAACAAGAUCAAGCAUUAGUUCUAUUAUGUCACACAGAAGAAAUGGAAUCGAGGUAUUCCAUCUCUCCUUGUGCGAACUGCAAACCGCUGUUCACUUCAACAAAUUUCAACCAAAUCAAACUCAAAUCGCAAUCGUGAAAUAGUAGAGUGUUCAUAUUCUAAAUCAACCCUAACAGCACGAGGGGAGAUCGAUAUCAAGUGGUUAAACAAGAAUCGAUCUAUGAAAGCGGUUUAGAAAUGAAAUUGCAAACCGAGUGUUGUUGCGAUUUGGUUGGGAUUGUCGGGUCUCUUACCUGUGGAAACUGGUGAAGUGAUCUGCAAAAACAGAGAGAACUCGAGAUUCCAAACGAAUGAGAAGCAAAACCACUUAAAACGGUUGAGAAUCAAAGAUUUGGUGGUUUGUUUAGAGGAAAUCGCAAGUGGGGGAUCAGUGUACGGCGGACUGAAAGGGAAAGUGAAGGGUGAAGCCUUAAAUAGGCAAAACCCUAACUGUCCCGAAAUUA